This 508-nucleotide ribosomal RNA is filed under the name uncultured bacterium. RNAcentral's name for it is "bacterial SSU rRNA". It matches the Rfam family "Bacterial small subunit ribosomal RNA", at positions 32 to 512 of the family's 1533-position model. The record is from RNAcentral.
AAUCAACGCUGGCGGCGUGCCUCAGACAUGCAAGUCGAACGCGAAAGUUCCCUUCGGGGAGCAAGUAGAGUGGCGCACGGGUGAGUAACACGUAGGUAAUUUGCCUUCGGGUGGGGAAUAACAGUCGGAAACGACUGCUAAUACCGCAUAAUGCAGCGGCUCGACAUCGAGACAGUUGUUAAAGCGGGGGAUCCUUCGGGACCUCGCGCCUGAAGAGAAGCCUGCGGCAGAUUAGCUAGUUGGUGAGGUAAUGGCCCACCAAGGCUACGAUCUGUAACCGGCCUGAGAGGGCGGUCGGGUCACACUGACACUGACAUACGGGUCAGACUCCUACGGGAGGCAGCAGUCGGGAAUUUUGGGCAAUGGGCGCAAGCCUGACCCAGCAACGCCGCGUGAAGGAUGAAAUUUUUCGGAAUGUAAACUUCGCAAGAACGGGAAGAAUAAGUUCAGGCAAAUAGCCUGAAUGAUGACGGUACCGUUUGUAAGCUCCGGCUAACUUCGUGCCAGC